UACGGAGGAUGCAAGCGUUAUCCGGAAUAAUUGGGCGUAAAGCGUCCGUAGGUGGCUGUUCAAGUCUGCCGUUAAAGACCGGGGCUUAACUUCGGAAAGGCAGUGGAAACUGAACAGCUAGAGUAUGGUAGGGGCAGAGGGAAUUCCUGGUGUAGCGGUGAAAUGCGUAGAUAUCAGGAAGAACAUCGGUGGCGAAGGCGCUCUGCUGGACCAUAACUGACACUCAGGGACGAAAGCUAGGGGAGCGAAUGGG
Molecule: ribosomal RNA, 253 nt
Filed under: uncultured bacterium
Lineage: Bacteria
Description: partial 16S ribosomal RNA
Rfam family: Bacterial small subunit ribosomal RNA
Source: RNAcentral